Molecule: small RNA, 16 nt
Filed under: Arabidopsis thaliana (thale cress)
Lineage: Eukaryota; Viridiplantae; Streptophyta; Magnoliopsida; Brassicales; Brassicaceae
Description: ATSL124590
Source: RNAcentral
CCAUCUCUUUCUAAAC